Molecule: ribosomal RNA, 464 nt
Filed under: Haematococcus lacustris
Lineage: Eukaryota; Viridiplantae; Chlorophyta; Chlorophyceae; Chlamydomonadales; Haematococcaceae
Description: SSU rRNA
Rfam family: Eukaryotic small subunit ribosomal RNA
Source: RNAcentral
GCCGCCGCGGUAAUACCAGCUCCAAUAGCGUAUAUUUAAGUUGUUGCAGUUAAAAAGCUCGUAGUUGGAUUUCGGGUGGGUUCCAGCGGUCUGCCUCUGGUAUGUACUGCUGUGGCCUACCUUUCUGCCGGGGACGUGUUCCUGGGCUUCAUUGUCCGGGACUCGAAUUCGGCGAGGAUACUUUGAGUAAAACAGCGUGUUCAAAGCAAGCCUACGCUCUGAAUGCAUUAGCAUGGAAUAUCACGAUAGGACUCUGGCCUAUCUUGUUGGUCUGUAGGACCGGAGUAAUGAUUAAGAGGGACAGUCGGGGGCAUUCGUAUUUCAUUGUCAGAGGUGAAAUUCUUGGAUUUAUGAAAGACGAACUUCUGCGAAAGCAUUUGCCAAGGAUGUUUUCAUUAAUCAAGAACGAAAGUUGGGGGCUCGAAGACGAUUAGAUACCGUCGUAGUCUCAACCAUAAACGAUG